GAGAGUACUGGGCUCUGCCUAGCUACUUUUACCCAUGUUUUUUACGUACCCAAAGUUUCCUCGGCGGCUCCGCCCGCCGGUUGGACAACCAUAAACCCUUUGUAGUUGCAGUCAGCGUCUGAAAAAACAUAAUAAUUACAACUUUCAACAACGGAUCUCUUGGUUCU
Molecule: unclassified non-coding RNA, 167 nt
Filed under: rhizosphere metagenome
Description: partial ribosomal RNA internal transcribed spacer region
Source: RNAcentral